Molecule: long non-coding RNA, 732 nt
Filed under: Struthio camelus australis
Lineage: Eukaryota; Metazoa; Chordata; Aves; Struthioniformes; Struthionidae
Description: lncRNA (ENSSCUG00000017068.1)
Source: RNAcentral
CAACUGUUGUGUGAGCCAGCAACCAACAGCCUGCAGGCUGUCCCUAACAAAGGCAGUCACAGUGGAGAUGGAGGUAAUUGAGGCUGAUUGAUAUUAUAAUGACCUGGCAGGACAAAGAAUCGAACACUUCUUUUGAGGUGUUACUGACUCCAUAACUUGCCGCAUUGCUCACCUUAUGAAGUAAGACAAAACAACAAUAAGGUUGCUAGUGAUCAUUUGUUUCGGGAUGCACAGCUAAUAGGAUUAAUGCAGCUUUAAGAGUUAUUGCUGAGGCUGCCUGUAAGGGCAGACAGGAGGUCCACGAGGAAAAGGGAAGACGGAGGAGGUGGUUUUCUACCUCAAUACUGAUGGAAGAAGUAAGAGAAGAUUUGCUGCCCCCUGAUUAUCAUCCAGAGCUCUUUGGUGCACCAUCCUUCUUUUUCCCACAGCCAUGGAAGCAUACAGGAGAGGAUGACUGUCACAACCAAGUGACACGGUAACCACCACAGCUCUCUGCGAAGAAAUAAUCUCCCCUAGGUCAAUGAAGAGACAAAAAAACUCUGCCUUCCCUCCUCCCUGACUGGAUAGCAAAGUGGAAUUUCUCUUGCAUUCCCAAAUGCCAGCUCUGCCUCAGGACGCAGAUGCACCUCCCCUACAUUCCAGCAAACAGCACACAGCUCCUGCUUUAGAAAAAAUGGAGACAACUGAAUGGUUUUGUAUAAGCUGUGCUGGCAUGGGAGUCCAAAAGAACAG